Molecule: ribosomal RNA, 497 nt
Filed under: uncultured bacterium
Lineage: Bacteria
Description: partial 16S ribosomal RNA
Rfam family: Bacterial small subunit ribosomal RNA
Source: RNAcentral
GAUGAGCGCUGGCGGCGUGCCUAAUACAUGCAAGUCGAGCGAACAGACGAGGAGCUUGCUCCUCUGACGUUAGCGGCGGACGGGUGAGUAACACGUGGAUAACCUACCUAUAAGACUGGGAUAACUUCGGGAAACCGGAGCUAAUACCGGAUAAUAUAUUGAACCGCAUGGUUCAAUAGUGAAAGACGGUUUUGCUGUCACUUAUAGAUGGAUCCGCGCCGCAUUAGCUAGUUGGUAAGGUAACGGCUUACCAAGGCGACGAUGCGUAGCCGACCUGAGAGGGUGAUCGGCCACACUGGAACUGAGACACGGUCCAGACUCCUACGGGAGGCAGCAGUAGGGAAUCUUCCGCAAUGGGCGAAAGCUUGACGGAGCAACGCCGCGUGAGUGAUGAAGGUCUUCGGAUCGUAAAACUCUGUUAUUAGGGAAGAACAAAUGUGUAAGUAACUAUGCACGUCUUGACGGUACCUAAUCAGAAAGCCACGGCUAACUACGUG